This 1225-nucleotide ribosomal RNA is filed under the name Staphylococcus pseudintermedius. RNAcentral's name for it is "partial 23S ribosomal RNA". It matches the Rfam family "Bacterial large subunit ribosomal RNA", at positions 1547 to 2772 of the family's 2925-position model. Lineage: Bacteria; Bacillati; Bacillota; Bacilli; Caryophanales; Staphylococcaceae. The record is from RNAcentral.
CUCUUAAGAUUGAGCUGUGAUGGGGAGAGGAACUUGUUCCUCGAGUCGUUGAUUUCACACUGCCGAGAAAAGCCUCUAGCUAGAAUAACGGUGCCCGUACCGCAAACCGACACAGGUAGUCAAGAUGAGAAUUCUAAGGUGAGCGAGCGAACUCUCGUUAAGGAACUCGGCAAAAUGACCCCGUAACUUCGGGAGAAGGGGUGCUCUUUGAGGUUCACGCUUCGAAGAGCCGCAGUGAAUAGGCCCAAGCGACUGUUUAUCAAAAACACAGGUCUCUGCUAAACCGUAAGGUGACGUAUAGGGGCUGACGCCUGCCCGGUGCUGGAAGGUUAAGAGGAGUGGUUAGCGCAAGCGAAGCUACGAAUCGAAGCCCCAGUAAACGGCGGCCGUAACUAUAACGGUCCUAAGGUAGCGAAAUUCCUUGUCGGGUAAGUUCCGACCCGCACGAAAGGCGUAACGAUUUGGGCACUGUCUCAACGAGAGACUCGGUGAAAUCAUAGUACCGGUGAAGAUGCCGGUUACCCGCGACAGGACGGAAAGACCCCGUGGAGCUUUACUGUAGCCUGAUAUUGAAAUUCGGUACAGUUUGUACAGGAUAGGUAGGAGCCUUAGAAGCGUGAGCGCUAGCUUACGUGGAGGCAUUGGUGGGAUACUACCCUAAUUGUAUUGGAUUUCUAACCCGCAGCACUUAUCGUGCUGGGAGACAGUGUCAGGCGGGCAGUUUGACUGGGGCGGUCGCCUCCUAAAGAGUAACGGAGGCGCUCAAAGGUUCCCUCAGAAUGGUUGGAAAUCAUUCAUAGAGUGUAAAGGCAUAAGGGAGCUUGACUGCGAGACCUACAAGUCGAGCAGGGUCGAAAGACGGACUUAGUGAUCCGGUGGUUCCGCAUGGAAGGGCCAUCGCUCAACGGAUAAAAGCUACCCCGGGGAUAACAGGCUUAUCUCCCCCAAGAGUUCACAUCGACGGGGAGGUUUGGCACCUCGAUGUCGGCUCAUCGCAUCCUGGGGCUGUAGUCGGUCCCAAGGGUUGGGCUGUUCGCCCAUUAAAGCGGUACGCGAGCUGGGUUCAGAACGUCGUGAGACAGUUCGGUCCCUAUCCGUCGUGGGCGUAGGAAAUUUGAGAGGAGCUGUCCUUAGUACGAGAGGACCGGGAUGGACAUACCUCUGGUGUACCAGUUGUCGUGCCAACGGCAUAGCUGGGUAGCUAUGUAUGGACGGGAUAAGUGCU